CGCUGCUUUCUGCUAAAUCUGAAUCAAGCCAGCAAUUUGCUGGAUCUUUCAAAAAAAAAAAAAUCUUAUCUAGCAGAUCUUUAUGCCCUUAACAAGCCAAGCAACAACACAGUAGGACAACCAAUGGCCCGACCUACACAUUGGAUUCAGCCGCUUGACAUGUUUCUUAAUAUCAAUGUUGAUGCCGCCGUCACACGUAACAGGGGCCGAGGAGUUGCAGCAGCUAUUUGCCGCAAUCAAGGAGUCUUCCAAGGGGCAUCGGCCAUUGUUUUCAAGGGUAUAGCUGACCCUCCGACAGUUGAAGCCUUGGCGAUCCGGGAGGCACUAGCACUCGUCGAAGACCUCAAUCUUCAAAGCAUUCAUGUUGCUUCUGACUGCAAGGUUGUGGUGGAUAAUAUCAAGCAGCGGCACUUGACUAGUUAUGGAGCAAUAUUACAUGAAAUCACAGAUCAUAGUCACUCUUUCUUGAGAUGUAAUUUUGUUCACGAGUAUAGGAGUUCGAAUUUCGAGGCUUAUAAUUUAACGAAGCAUGUUUUAAGUUUGGUGGUGUGCCGCCGUGUUUGAUUAGGACACCCUGGUGAUCUUUUUUUCGUGCCUGUAAACUUUGGUUCGAGUUAAAUAAAGCUUUACGGGAUUGUCUAAAAAGAAGUCUUCUAAAAAAAUUAAGACUUUUGAUUUUUAUUUGUCUCCCUAUUUGAGGCUAUGUGUGUCAAAUUACCGGACAACCGUACAGAGCGUCAGCGACGGGGCGUACCCAUUUUCACGCUCACUGGAGCAAUUUUCUUGCAGCACAGCUUUUGUUUUGUUAGCCUUUUUUCUCCGAGAAAACAAUCACAAAAUUUCAUUACGGAUAUAAGAAAACAAUGUAAUGCAAUAUUAAAAUAAUGUUCAUAAAUUUAUAAAUUGUACUGGGUUCCUGAAAAAAACACAUCAUUUAGAAACAUUUAAAUUUUUCCAAAAAAUAAACAAAAAGUUUUUGCAUUUAGAAAUAUUCAAAGUUGUAAAGUAGAAGGUUUUAAUUUGUUUUGGCUAGUCAAAUGCUGGGGGUGCUGAAUAGGUAUUUGACUACUCAAAACAAGUCGAAACAGCUUUGAAAUCGAUUUGGGGUUGAUUCUUGCCCGGUUUUGAAAGUUCGAGGUUGUAAAGUAUUUAGUAAACGAUUUUAGAGCUCGGGGCUGGAUGUUGACUAGGCAUUUGACUAGUCAAAACCAGUCAAAACAGGUUUAAACCGGUUUAGAGUUGAUUCUUGUCCGGUUUUGGAAGUUCGAGGUUGUAACGUAUAUGGUUUUGACGUCGAGGUUGUAUCUUAAACUUUGGUAGUAAUUUAAGUUUGUAAUACGAACCCUUCUCUUUUUUUUAGCCUGAUGGUGUUAUGUAUUUGGGGGAUUUGAUAUUUUGCCACCACUUACUUUGUAAUUGAUUUUUUGCCACCACUUACUUUGCACUUUGAUCUUUUGCCACUUUAUAACACAAAAACAAUCUUUGUAAAUGAUGGAUGAAAUACAUGCACAAAUCAGAGGACAAUUGUACCCUUAUGCCUGUUUGACUGAAACAGGUCAGCCUGAACACAAAUGGGCACGAGCAGCAGCAGCCACGGCCAAACACGGGCACGAGCAGCAGCAGAGGCCACGCACGGCCACGAGCAGCAGCAGCUGCUCUGCUGCCCCUCCACCCCUGCUGCUCCCCGGCGGCCCUAAUGCCACGCACCGCAUGAGCGGCGGCGGCGGCAUCCACGCACGGCCACGAGCAGCAGCGGUGGCGGCGCCGCACGGCCACGCGGUGGCCGGCGGCAGAGCACAAGUGGGUGGAGCGGCGGCCAUGCAUGGCAUGAGCAGCAGCGGCGGCGGCCUCGCACGACAACGAGCAGCAGAUGCGGCGGCGGCGCACAGGCACGCGGUGGCCGGCGGCGGAGCACAAGUGCGUGGAGCGGUGGCCACGCACUGCACGAGCAGCGGCGGCGGCGGCCUCGCACGGCUACGAGCAGCAGAUACGGCUGCGGCGCACGGGCACGCGGUGGCCGGUGGCGGAGCAAGAGCGUGAGGAGCGGCGGCGGCGACUCGUAACCCUAACCCUAGGCUGCCGGGGGCCGGGGCGGGAGAGAGACGACUCACCUUGGACCACCGGGAGCUCCGGGGAGUUGGCCGCCGCCCCGCCGUCUCUCUGUGAAAGCUGC
RNAcentral lists this long non-coding RNA (2173 nucleotides) under Triticum aestivum (bread wheat). RNAcentral's name for it is "long non-coding RNA (TAES_LNC023668)". The record is from RNAcentral. Lineage: Eukaryota; Viridiplantae; Streptophyta; Magnoliopsida; Poales; Poaceae.